RNAcentral lists this ribosomal RNA (1127 nucleotides) under Collinsella aerofaciens. RNAcentral's name for it is "bacterial SSU rRNA". It matches the Rfam family "Bacterial small subunit ribosomal RNA", at positions 8 to 1176 of the family's 1533-position model. Lineage: Bacteria; Bacillati; Actinomycetota; Coriobacteriia; Coriobacteriales; Coriobacteriaceae. The record is from RNAcentral. RNAcentral also lists the same sequence under 1 other name.
AGAGUUCGAUCCUGGCUCAGGAUGAACGCUGGCGGCGCGCCUAACACAUGCAAGUCGAACGGCACCCCUCUCCGGAGGGAAGCGAGUGGCGAACGGCUGAGUAACACGUGGAGAACCUGCCCCCUCCCCCGGGAUAGCCGCCCGAAAGGACGGGUAAUACCGGAUACCCCGGGGUGCCGCAUGGCGCCCCGGCUAAAGCCCCGACGGGAGGGGAUGGCUCCGCGGCCCAUCAGGUAGACGGCGGGGUGACGGCCCACCGUGCCGACAACGGGUAGCCGGGUUGAGAGACCGACCGGCCAGAUUGGGACUGAGACACGGCCCAGACUCCUACGGGAGGCAGCAGUGGGGAAUCUUGCGCAAUGGGGGGAACCCUGACGCAGCGACGCCGCGUGCGGGACGGAGGCCUUCGGGUCGUAAACCGCUUUCAGCAGGGAAGAGUCAAGACUGUACCUGCAGAAGAAGCCCCGGCUAACUACGUGCCAGCAGCCGCGGUAAUACGUAGGGGGCGAGCGUUAUCCGGAUUCAUUGGGCGUAAAGCGCGCGUAGGCGGCCCGGCAGGCCGGGGGUCGAAGCGGGGGGCUCAACCCCCCGAAGCCCCCGGAACCUCCGCGGCUUGGGUCCGGUAGGGGAGGGUGGAACACCCGGUGUAGCGGUGGAAUGCGCAGAUAUCGGGUGGAACACCGGUGGCGAAGGCGGCCCUCUGGGCCGAGACCGACGCUGAGGCGCGAAAGCUGGGGGAGCGAACAGGAUUAGAUACCCUGGUAGUCCCAGCCGUAAACGAUGGACGCUAGGUGUGGGGGGACGAUCCCCCCGUGCCGCAGCCAACGCAUUAAGCGUCCCGCCUGGGGAGUACGGCCGCAAGGCUAAAACUCAAAGGAAUUGACGGGGGCCCGCACAAGCAGCGGAGCAUGUGGCUUAAUUUCGAAGCAACGCGAAGAACCUUACCAGGGCUUGACAUAUGGGUGAGCGGGGGAGACCCCCGUGACGAGAGAGCCAUACAGUGUGCAUGCUGUCGUCAGCUCGUGUCGUGAGAUGGUGGGUAAGUCCGCACGAGCGCAACCCCGCCGGUGUGCAUCGGUGAUGCCGACCGCGAACGCGCGUCAGCCGAAGAGGGCGGGGAACGAACG